AUGAGGAACAGGGAGAAGCAGACACAGGAAGCUAUGCAGUCCCAGACAAAUUUGCCUUGCUUCCUGACUGUUUCUCUAUGCUUCCUCAACCAAACACUCCAAUUUUCUAUCCUUGGGUAUUUUGAAUUGUAUGCCAUUUGAUGUGAAGCCUUUCAGAAAAUGCAAAAUCAAAGAGAAUUAUCUGAGGUGGUGACUGUAGAAGCGACGAAUUAUCUCACCUCCCAAGCACUGGUCUCAGGGUCGUUUUUUGGGGAUGAAGAAAGAUAUUAGAGUUUUCAGAGGAUAGAAUAUAAGCAAGAAGAAGCCAAGGGAGGUCUGAUAGCGCCAUGGAUGGCAUGGUGACCCCAGUGACUCACAUGGACACCUCUGGAGGGCCUUCUGGAAUUAGAAAAGCUGAAGUAGCUGGAAAACCAUGAAAAAUGGAAGGAUGAUCAACCUCUGCAGUGACUGACUAAUCCAAGACAUUCUUACGUUGUUUCUUAUUCUGGCCUCGAUUGACAAGGCCAUUGAACUUUGUAACCGACCUUGGUCAACCUCCUGACUCCACACCCUAUGACCCCAUCCCUUGCCAAACGCCACCCUAAACUGUAACUCUUGUAACUUUCCACUGCCUUCCCCACAACCUAUAAAACCAACUCCUAUCCCACCUCCCUUCUCUGACUCUCUUUUCUGGCUCAGCCUGCCCAUACCCAGGUGAAUAAACACCCAUCUUGCUCGCACAAA
Long non-coding RNA from Callithrix jacchus (white-tufted-ear marmoset), 723 nucleotides. RefSeq lists it as uncharacterized. The record is from RefSeq and is a predicted model, not a curated record. Lineage: Eukaryota; Metazoa; Chordata; Mammalia; Primates; Cebidae.